Molecule: ribosomal RNA, 344 nt
Filed under: uncultured bacterium
Lineage: Bacteria
Description: bacterial SSU rRNA
Rfam family: Bacterial small subunit ribosomal RNA
Source: RNAcentral
AGGGUUCGAUUCUGGCUCAGGACGAACGCUGGCGGCGUGCUUAACACAUGCAAGUCGAACGGAGCACCCCUGAUCGAGGUUUCGGCCAAGUGAAGGGAAUGCUUAGUGGCGGACUGGUGAGUAACGCGUGAGGAACCUGCCUUCCAGAGGGGGACAACAGUUGGAAACGACUGCUAAUACCGCAUGACGCAUGACCGGGGCAUCCCGGACAUGCCAAAGAUUUAUCGCUGGAAGAUGGCCUCGCGUCUGAUUAGCUAGUAGGCGGGGUAACGGCCCACCUAGGCGACGAUCAGUAGCCGGACUGAGAGGUUGACCGGCCACAUUGGGACUGAGAUACGGCCCAG